GUGUCAGCAGCCGCGGUAAAACGUAGGUACCGAGCGUUAUCCGGAUUUACUGGGCGUAAAGCGCGUUCAGGCGGUUUGGCAAGUCGGGCAUGAAAUCUCUCGGCUCAACCGGGAGAGGUUGUCCGAUACUGCUGGACUUGAGGGCAGUAGAGGGUGGUGGAAUUCCGGGUGUAGUGGUGAAAUGCGUAGAUAUCCGGAGGAACACCAGUGGCGAAAGCGGCCACCUGGACUGCACCUGACGCUGACACGCGAAAGCUAGGGGAGCGAACGGGAUUAGAAACCCCUGUAGUCC
This 292-nucleotide ribosomal RNA is filed under the name uncultured bacterium. RNAcentral's name for it is "partial 16S ribosomal RNA". It matches the Rfam family "Bacterial small subunit ribosomal RNA", at positions 505 to 796 of the family's 1533-position model. The record is from RNAcentral.